RNAcentral lists this ribosomal RNA (363 nucleotides) under uncultured bacterium. Its description in RNAcentral is "partial 16S ribosomal RNA". It matches the Rfam family "Bacterial small subunit ribosomal RNA", at positions 338 to 698 of the family's 1533-position model. The record is from RNAcentral.
CCUACGGGAGGCAGCAGUGAGGAAUAUUGGUCAAUGGGCGGAAGCCUGAACCAGCCAAGUAGCGUGCAGGAUGACGGCCCUACGGGUUGUAAACUGCGUUGAUACGGGAAUAACGCGCCUUACGUGUAGGGCCUUGCAUGGAUCGUAUGAAAAAGGACCGGCAAAUUCCGUGCCAGCAGCCGCGGUCAGACGGAAGGUCCGGGCGUUAUCCGGAUUGGUUGGGUUAAAAGGGAGCGUAGGCCGAAGGGCAAGCGUGAUGUGAAAUGUCAGGGCUCAACCCGGGCCUUGCAGCGAGAACUGGCGUGCAUGAGUCAGCGGAGGGCAGGCGGAAUUCGUGGUGUAGCGGUGAAAUGCUUAGAUAUG